This 467-nucleotide ribosomal RNA is filed under the name uncultured bacterium. Its description in RNAcentral is "partial 16S ribosomal RNA". It matches the Rfam family "Bacterial small subunit ribosomal RNA", at positions 29 to 507 of the family's 1533-position model. The record is from RNAcentral.
ACGAACGCUGGCGGCGUGCUUCACACCUGCAAGUCGAACGGAAAGGCCCUGCUUUUGUGGGGUUCUCGAGUGGCGAACGGGUGAGUAACACGCGAGUAACCUGCCCUUGACUUUGGGAUAACUUCAGGAAACUGGGGCUAAUACCGGAUAGGAUCUCCUGCUGCAUGGUGGGGGUUGGAAAUUUUCGGCGGUUGGGGAUGGACUCGCGGCUUAUCAGCUUGUUGGUGGGGUAGUGGCUUACCAAGGCUUUGACGGGUAGCCGGCCUGAGAGGGUGACCGGCCACAUUGGGACUGAGAUACGGCCCAGACUCCUACGGGAGGCAGCAGUGGGGAAUAUUGCACAAUGGGCGGAAGCCUGAUGCAGCAACGCCGCGUGCGGGAUGACGGCCUUCGGGUUGUAAACCGCUUUCGCCUGUGACGAAGCGUGAGUGACGGUAAUGGGUAAAGAAGCACCGGCUAACUACGUG